ACAUACGACCAUAUCCACUGGAGAACUCGGGAUCCCGUCCGCUCUCCCAUAGAUAAGCCAGUGAGGGCCGGAUUAGUAGUUGGGUCGGUGACGACCAGCGAAUACCUGGUGUUGUAUGUU
This is a ribosomal RNA of Colletotrichum tofieldiae, 120 nucleotides long. The record is from Rfam. Lineage: Eukaryota; Fungi; Ascomycota; Sordariomycetes; Glomerellales; Glomerellaceae.